RNAcentral lists this ribosomal RNA (253 nucleotides) under uncultured prokaryote. Its description in RNAcentral is "partial 16S ribosomal RNA". It matches the Rfam family "Bacterial small subunit ribosomal RNA", at positions 525 to 777 of the family's 1533-position model. The record is from RNAcentral.
ACGAAGGGUGCAAGCGUUACUCGGAAUUACUGGGCGUAAAGCGUGCGUAGGUGGUUUGUUAAGUCUGAUGUGAAAGCCCUGGGCUCAACCUGGGAACGGCAUUGGAUACUGGCUUACUAGAGUGCGGUAGAGGGUAGUGGAAUUCCCGGUGUAGCAGUGAAAUGCGUAGAUAUCGGGAGGAACAUCUGUGGCGAAGGCGGGUUGCUGGGCUGACACUGACGCUGAGGCGCGAAAGCCAGGGGAGCGAACGGGA